CUUAUUGAUUGUUAUUUAUUUUUGUUUAUUCCACUUUAAACCAUAUGUUAGCAUUGCAAUGCUGUGAGAUUCAUAUUAAACAGUCAUGUUAUUAAUUGUGUUGUCUUUAUUUUGUUUACAGUCAUUAUCAGGACUCAUAAGCAAAUGACAUCUAUACAACAUAAUCAGUCUUAGUUCGACUACUUCACUUCCCAACUUUUCAAGGCGAGUGUGAUCGUUUUUCAUUAUAAAUCAUUGUUUCAGUCGCAGAGGAUGUCUGUCGUCAUUCAGGACAAAAUAUAGCAGCGUCAACUUAAAGCCAGAUACUCGAGCAUCUCCUGUCUUAUACUUUAACUAAGAUGUUGCUCUGAGAAUUCCAACAAACAUGACAACAAAAACAGCAACAAACUAAUGCGAUCGUAACAACUUAAUUUUUUUGGUACCUAUAACUUUUGUGUGUAUCUGAGUGCAGAAAGUAAAUACCGUAAUCUACUGAAUAAAACUCCAACCGUAAUCUACUGAAUAAAACCCCAACCGUAAUCUACUGAAUAAAACCCCAACCGUAAUCUACUGAAUAAAACCCCAACCGUAAUCUACUGAAUAAAACCCCAACCGUAAUCU
Biomphalaria pfeifferi is the source of this 600-nucleotide non-coding RNA. The record is from the annotation of a GenBank genome assembly. Lineage: Eukaryota; Metazoa; Mollusca; Gastropoda; Planorbidae.